This 446-nucleotide ribosomal RNA is filed under the name uncultured prokaryote. Its description in RNAcentral is "bacterial SSU rRNA". It matches the Rfam family "Bacterial small subunit ribosomal RNA", at positions 355 to 796 of the family's 1533-position model. The record is from RNAcentral.
UCGAGAAUCUUCGGCAAUGGACGCAAGUCUGACCGAGCGAUGCCGCGUGCGGGAUGAAGGCCUUCGGGUUGUAAACCGCUGUCAGUUGGGAGGAAAUUCUAUGGGGCUAUCUCCAUAGAUUGACCCAUCUUCAGAGGAAGGACGGGCUAAGUUCGUGCCAGCAGCCGCGGUAAGACGAACCGUCCAAACGUUAUUCGGAAUCACUGGGCUUAAAGGGUGCGUAGGCGGCCUUAUAAGUCGGGUGUGAAAUCCCACAGCUCAACUGUGGAACUGCGCCCGAUACUGUGAGGCUUGAGGAAGGCAGAGGUGAGCGGAACUGAUGGUGGAGCGGUGAAAUGCGUUGAUAUCAUCAGGAACACCCGUGGCGAAAGCGGCUCACUGGGCCUUUUCUGACGCUGAGGCACGAAAGCUAGGGGAGCGAACGGGAUUAGAUACCCCCGUAGUCC